This 2684-nucleotide long non-coding RNA is filed under the name Marmota monax (woodchuck). Lineage: Eukaryota; Metazoa; Chordata; Mammalia; Rodentia; Sciuridae. The record is from RNAcentral.
UUUUUUUUUAGUGUGGUGCUGAGGAUUGAACCCAGGACCUCACCCAAGGUAGACAAGCACUCUACCACUGAGCUACAACCCAGCCCUCAAAAAUAUUGACUAGGACAAAAGUAGCUGUUCCUUGUUUAAGAUCCCAGAUUUUUUACGAUUCUCAGAAGUACUUAUCCUCCCUUAUUUUUGCCUGAAAGUGGGAAAAUAAGUUUUAUACUCAUUUUUUGCUUGAUUUAUUGCUCUUGAAAAUUUUAUUUUAUAAGAUGUAUAAGGAUUCAGACUAUAUAUAUAUAUAUAUAUAUAUAUAUAUAUAUAUAUAUAUAUACUUUUUUUUAGAGAGAGAGAGAGAAUUUUUUUUAAUAUUUAUUUUUUAGUUUUCGGCAGACACAACGUCUUUGUUUGUAUGUGGUGCUGAGGAUCAAACCCGGGCCGCACGCAUGCCAGGAGAGCGUGCUACCGCUUGAGCCACAUCCCCAGCCCUCAGACAAAAUAUUUUAAGCAAAUAUUUAUAAAAACAAAAAUGAAGGACCACUCAAUCGCAGAUAUUUUGAUGUUGUAGUAUACUGUCUGGAUUUAGACAAGAAAAUACAAAAUUUAUUUAUAUACUGACAUUUUCCAUGAAAAAAGGAAUUAACUUUGAACCACUUUCAAAAUUUUCCAUAUAGACACAAGAAUGUUUUUAGUAACAGCAUUUUUGUCCAAGUAAAUUUCCAAAUUUUCCCAUUUCAAUACAAUAGAAGUGUAGAAAAAAGACUUUUCUGGACAAGGAAAAUGGGUUAGAUGCUUGAUAAAUUUAGCAUUCAAAUUGCAUUUUACAAUCUCCCCAGUACAAGUAAAGAUAGACAAAAUGGAUGAGAAUCAGUUAAGAAUAUAAAAUGACUUUCAACUUUUCUAAUUUUGAAUUUAUUGAUUAAACUUUCUCUCUUAGGACAUUUUGAGCAUACUAUCAAAUAUUUUAUAUGACAUACAUGUCCAUUUUGUUCUGUAAACUGUUCUUAUUACAAAGAGUUACCAAAUGAAGCUGCCUUUCUAGAAGCAUAAAAUUUUUACCACUGAACUAUAGUUUCUUCAUUUGUUUGAAAACCAAAAUGGUAUAACAGAAAGAAUAUUUUAGCAAGAAAUCGAAAAACUUGGUUCUAAACUUGCCUUUGCUUACCAAUAUUUGACCAUAAGGAAGUCAUUUGAUCUCUUUAAGCAUCAUUUUUCUCAUUUAUAAAACAAGGCUAGUGCUGGGCAUGUUGGUACACACUUGUAAUCCCAGCAAUUUGGGAUGCUGAGGCAGGAGGAUCACAAGUUCAAACCCAGCCUCAGCAAUUUAUCAAGGCCAUAAGCAAUGUAGUGAGACCCUAUCCCAAAAUAAAAAAUGAAAAGGUCUAGGGGUAUCUGGGUUUAACCCCCAACACCAUAAAAAAAAAAGACUAAUAACCUCAUUUAUUGAGUUUCAUGGAAUUAUUUUAAGAAUCAAGUGAAUCAUGAAAAUAAAAAGCUUGUAAAUAGAGAAAGCAUUCACAAAUGUGAGGUUGAUAUUGACUUCUCAUGGGCAUACAUAUUUACAGUGGAUGAGAAUUUUUUAUCUUUCAUGUGUGUUCAGAAGGGGCAAAAGAAGGUACAUGUUUUCAUGGACCUGGGGGAUUUCUGGGUUGAAGCUUAUCCUCUGCCCUUUUACCCUGAACCACUAUUCCUCCAAAGAAGAAAUGAUAGGGAAGGAAGUCCCCAGAGAAUUAAUUCAAUCAAAAGUCACAUUUGAAUGUGUUUUUUGUGUAUCUUUGAAGUGGAUAUUUAAUUGUAUUUUCAAAUACUUGUACAUUUUCUAGGUUCUUGUAAGUAUUUUCAAUAGUGUUUAUGAAUAGAAGAAUAUAAAUUAUGUCACUAUAAAAUUUUGAAUAUUUACAUUGUCAACUUUUUUUAUAUUAUUAAAUUAAUUUCACAUGAGUGAAUUCAUACCAUAAUUGACCAGAUGAGAAAUAUUUGUCGCCCAAAAUGUGAAGUAGACUAUUUUUACUAUUACAAUUUUAAAUCUUAAAAAUCAUCAGUCCAAAAUGGCAUAAGCUCAACUACUAGGUAUCUAACAGCAAUUUAAAGUAUAGUCACCUGUGCCUACUUGUAAAGUUAAACAGCUAUAAUAUAAAAUGUGACUUAACUUUCAGUGGACACCCUUUAUAAUAUUUAUGUUGGAUGAGACUAAUUAUUCAGGCUGAAGGAUUUGAUGUGUUCCAAGAUUUAGAACAGAAUUAAGAAACUAGGAGAAACAAUUGGGAAAGCAGAACCCCAAAAUUUAAUACUUGAAUAAGUAGAAGCAAGCCUAGCACUCUGGUCUCCUAACAUCUUGAUUACCAUGCUUGGGGGGGGUGAGUUAUUGUGUGAGUGUGUGUGUGUGUGUGUUUGUGUGUGUGUGUGUGUGUGUGUACACAUGCCUGCAUGCAUGUACUCACAUGAGCAUGCAUGUGCACAUGGCUGGUUGUUGAGGAAUGUGAGGAAAGGGGAAGUAUAAUCAGAUGGAAUCAACAAAAUUCUAAAUUUGGGUUAAAUCAUUUUUAUAUUUUAGAGAAGCUGUUUGUGAUAAAACCAUAGUACAGCGAAUAAUGACUGCAAAGAUCUGAGUUCUUAAACAAGAUUGCCAAACACCUGUAUACCCUUAGCCAGAUAUCUUUAUUCAUUUAUAUAUAUAUAUAUAUAUAUAUAUAUAUAUAUAU